This is a long non-coding RNA of Aphis gossypii (cotton aphid), 253 nucleotides long. RefSeq lists it as uncharacterized. NCBI's taxonomy places the organism in Eukaryota, Metazoa, Arthropoda, Insecta, Hemiptera, Aphididae. The record is from RefSeq and is a predicted model, not a curated record. The transcript has 3 exons.
UGAAAUAUAAUGAAGACGAUCCUUCACAGUCACGAGGUGCUGACGAGGAAAGGGGAUUCAGAGAAUAUUUAGUAACAAAUUCGAUGAAUCCAUUAGAGGCAGCAUGGGCUCCGAUUCGGAAAACUAUACCAAGGACGAUACACGCUGUCGAUGAAAAUGAUGGUCCUACGUAUUUUAACAGACCAUAAUCCCCCACCAUCUCUUUCCGACUUCAUAGAUGGCAAGUCAGCAGAACAAUCUACUCACUCCAAUA